AUUUCAGCGUGUGCACUCUUGUUAUAAGUACAUGUAUCCCUGUGAUGAGAGUUGUAACUGAACUUUAUCAAUGGAAAUUUAAAACUAAAUAGAUUUUUCAGUCCUCACUUUCUUGAGAAAAAAGACUAUCAAUAGAAAUUAAAAGUGAAUAGAUUUUUCAGUCAUUAAAAUUUCUUAAAGUACUGUCACAAAAAAUGGAGAAUGACCCUAGCCUGCUGUUCAGUGAUACACAAUUAAAAUGUUGUUAAAUGAUAGAAUUCAGUUGAUGUUAGAUAAUUAACUUUCAACUUUAAUCAAAUGUUUUGAUUGAGAAGGUGCAGAUCUCUUCCAUUGGUUCAAAUUGACUCCAUGAUGAAUUCUUAACUAAGGAAAGGAAAUUACACCAAACAACAACUGAUUGCACUAUUGUCAACCUUUCUACAUGUUCUAGCUGUUCUUUUGUUCAUUCUUUGUAUGAAGACUAUCAAAAAAUACCCCCCCCCCCCCCCCGCAAAAAAAAAAAAAAAAAAAAACCACAAUUGCCGUCUUUCCCCUCAUAGUUCUUCAGCUCUUUGAUUGAAAUUAUUUGACUCUCCCAUGUCUGUUUCUUUAAUGAGAUGAACAGUAAUUUUGCGCCUGUCCCA
This 623-nucleotide long non-coding RNA is filed under the name Mytilus galloprovincialis (Mediterranean mussel). Lineage: Eukaryota; Metazoa; Mollusca; Bivalvia; Mytilida; Mytilidae. The record is from RNAcentral.